GACGAACGCUGGCGGCGUGCUUAACACAUGCAAGUCGAACGGAAAGGCCCUGCUUUUGUGGGGUGCUCGAGUGGCGAACGGGUGAGUAACACGUGAGUAACCUGCCCUUGACUUUGGGAUAACUUCAGGAAACUGGGGCUAAUACCGGAUAGGAGCUCCUGCUGCAUGGUGGGGGUUGGAAAGUUUCGGCGGUUGGGGAUGGACUCGCGACUUAUCAGCUUGUUGGUGGGGUAGUGGCUUACCAAGGCUUUGACGGGUAGCCGGCCUGACAGGGUGACCGGCCACAUUGGGACUGAGAUACGGCCCAGACUCCUACGGGAGGCAGCAGUGGGGAAUAUUGCACAAUGGGCGGAAGCCUGAUGCAGCAACGCCGCGUGCGGGAUGACGGCCUUCGGGUUGUAAACCGCUUUCGCCUGUGACGAAGCGUGAGUGACGGUAAUGGGUAAAGAAGCACCGGCUAACUACGUG
This 468-nucleotide ribosomal RNA is filed under the name uncultured bacterium. RNAcentral describes it as "partial 16S ribosomal RNA". It matches the Rfam family "Bacterial small subunit ribosomal RNA", at positions 28 to 507 of the family's 1533-position model. The record is from RNAcentral.